RNAcentral lists this ribosomal RNA (497 nucleotides) under uncultured bacterium. Its description in RNAcentral is "partial 16S ribosomal RNA". It matches the Rfam family "Bacterial small subunit ribosomal RNA", at positions 28 to 507 of the family's 1533-position model. The record is from RNAcentral.
GAUGAACGCUGGCGGCGUGCCUAAUACAUGCAAGUCGAGCGAACGGACGAGAAGCUUGCUUCUCUGAUGUUAGCGGCGGACGGGUGAGUAACACGUGGAUAACCUACCUAUAAGACUGGGAUAACUUCGGGAAACCGGAGCUAAUACCGGAUAAUAUUUUGGACCGCAUGGUUCAAAAGUGAAAGACGGUCUUGCUGUCACUUAUAGAUGGACCCGCGCUGCAUUAGCUAGUUGGUAAGGUAACGGCUUACCAAGGCAACGAUGCAUAGCCGACCUGAGAGGGUGAUCGGCCACACUGGAACUGAGACACGGUCCAGACUCCUACGGGAGGCAGCAGUAGGGAAUCUUCCGCAAUGGGCGAAAGCCUGACGGAGCAACGCCGCGUGAGUGAUGAAGGUCUUCGGAUCGUAAAACUCUGUUAUUAGGGAAGAACAUAUGUGUAAGUAACUGUGCACAUCUUGACGGUACCUAAUCAGAAAGCCACGGCUAACUACGUG